GUGCUGGCUUCAGCAGCACAUAUACUAAAAUGGGAGUGAUACAGAAGAUUAGCAUGGCUCCCACCCAAGGAUGGGUAGUAUUUGACAGCAAAUAUUUACUUGUAA
This is a small nuclear RNA of Callorhinus ursinus (northern fur seal), 105 nucleotides long. The record is from RefSeq and is a predicted model, not a curated record. Lineage: Eukaryota; Metazoa; Chordata; Mammalia; Carnivora; Otariidae.